Molecule: long non-coding RNA, 340 nt
Filed under: Gossypium barbadense (sea-island cotton)
Lineage: Eukaryota; Viridiplantae; Streptophyta; Magnoliopsida; Malvales; Malvaceae
Description: long non-coding RNA (GBAR_LNC016611)
Source: RNAcentral
GGACAAUUCUCCACUUUUAACUUCUGCAAUGAUGAAAGGGUGAGCACAAUCUCGUUUCCAUCCCUUCCUUUGAAUUGAGGUAAAUCUUCCAACACAACCUCAUUCAGUAGAGGAAGACCUUGAGCCAUUGAUAUUGGAAAAGUGUCUUCCAAUUGAAGGCAAUCGUAAAUUUCAAGUUUUGUCGAACUUUUCAAAAUGCGACCAUGGGACAAUGAGGAAAGAGAUGUCAACAUGUUGCAUUCACGUACAAAUACUUCCAUUAGACUAUAGAGACAUAUGUUGGACUCUUUUUUUGCUUUGAUUAUUUCUUCCAAUCCAAAGCACCUCUCUAGAGUUUGCA